AGUGAACGCUGGCGGUAGGCCUAACACAUGCAAGUCGAACGGCAGCACAGUAAGAGCUUGCUCUUACGGGUGGCGAGUGGCGGACAGGUGAGGAAUACAUCGGAAUCUACUUUUUCGUGGGGGAUAACGUAGGGAAACUUACGCUAAUACCGCAUACGACCUACGGGUGAAAGCAGGGGAUCUUCGGACCUUGCGCGAUUGAAUGAGCCGAUGUCGGGUUAGCUAGUUGGCGGGGUAAAGGCCCACCAAGGCGACGAUCCGUAGCUGGUCUGAGAGGAUGAUCAGCCACACUGGAACUGAGACACGGUCCAGACUCCUACGGGAGGCAGCAGUGGGGAAUAUUGGACAAUGGGCGCAAGCCUGAUCCAGCCAUACCGCGUGGGUGAAGAAGGCCUUCGGGUUGUAAAGCCCUUUUGUUGGGAAAGAAAAGCAGCAGGUUAAUACCCCGCUGUUCUGACGGUACCCAAAGAAUAAGCACCGGCUAACUUCGUG
This 492-nucleotide ribosomal RNA is filed under the name uncultured bacterium. Its description in RNAcentral is "partial 16S ribosomal RNA". It matches the Rfam family "Bacterial small subunit ribosomal RNA", at positions 29 to 507 of the family's 1533-position model. The record is from RNAcentral.